UGCUGUUCUUGGUGGCCAUUUCAUAG
RNAcentral lists this unclassified non-coding RNA (26 nucleotides) under Mus musculus (house mouse). RNAcentral's name for it is "oocyte_clustered_small_RNA6016". Lineage: Eukaryota; Metazoa; Chordata; Mammalia; Rodentia; Muridae. The record is from RNAcentral.